AUACGGAGGGUGCGAGCGUUAAUCGGAAUUACUGGGCGUAAAGCGCGCGUAGGCGGCUUGGUCAGUCGGAUGUGAAAGCCCCGGGCUUAACCUGGGAACUGCAUUCGAUACUGCCAGGCUAGAGUAUGGUAGAGGGAAGCGGAAUUUCCGGUGUAGCGGUGAAAUGCGUAGAUAUCGGAAGGAACACCAGUGGCGAAGGCGGCUUCCUGGACCAAUACUGACGCUGAGGUGCGAAAGCGUGGGGAGCAAACAGGAUUAGAUACCCGAGUAGUCC
Molecule: ribosomal RNA, 274 nt
Filed under: uncultured bacterium
Lineage: Bacteria
Description: partial 16S ribosomal RNA
Rfam family: Bacterial small subunit ribosomal RNA
Source: RNAcentral